GUGCUAGCUUUGGCAGCACACACACUAAAAUUGGAACAAUACAGAGAAGAUUAGCAUGGCCUCUGCACAAGGAGGACACACAAAUUCACGAACUGUUCCAUAUUUUU
This is a small nuclear RNA of Lemur catta (Ring-tailed lemur), 107 nucleotides long. The record is from RefSeq and is a predicted model, not a curated record. NCBI's taxonomy places the organism in Eukaryota, Metazoa, Chordata, Mammalia, Primates, Lemuridae.